UUUUUUUUUUUUUUUUGCUCAGUUUCAACUUAAAAAAAAUCGUGUUAUUGUUUUCACUUAUUAUAGACGAGUAUCUAACCCUUUAAGCAGUUUUUAAUGAAUGUUUUACUGUUAUGAUUGUGCGAAGCCGGACCAAAUAAGUAUUUUUUUUUUCCGUUAAAAAUAGUCAAACGGAUUAUAUGUUCAUGAGAAGCCAAAACUCUUUCGGAACUGUAAGGUCUUAGUCGCACAGGAAAGCUAAUUUUAAACUCUUUUGUUUUAAAGAUAAAAUAAUACAGUAACUUUGUCUUGAAGAACGCGUUCCAAAUAUUGUUCUUAUAAAGUUAGUGUUUUUGUUACUGUUACUAUUUGUUUCACAUGUAAUUAUUGCACAUAUAUAUAUGUAUUUCAGAGAGUGUGUGUCUGUCUGUCUGUCCGUAUGUCUGUGUGUGGAAGCUCCACCUUUGAAAGGCACUGAUUGGUCAUGUAAAUAACAUUUCUCCAUCUCUCCUUCUCCUAUCUAUAUGCACUCAUCUACUGUAUGGAUAAUUAAAUCAUCAAUCAGGGGCGGGGGGGGAGGGGGAGGGCGGACUGUUUGAUGCCUUUGUUCAAAGCCAAUCGGCUUCCAGGGGACCGACGAGCACGGAGCACGAGAAAAGAUGUUCAACAUCUGGAAGCACACCGGUGGCAUUUUCAAAGGCAGGUGCAUUGCUUACCGCAACUUUCUAGCACGGCAUUAUUAUCAGGAGUGGGAUUCGAACUGAGGACCUGCAGACUAGGAGGGGAAAGUGCCAACCACUACGCCGCCUGCUGGGGAGUUUGAACAAAGCUGGAUGUUGCGGGUCCUUGGACUGCUCUGGACACAUUACUCAUUCACUUUGGGUCCGCUGCUCAGUCGUCCCAUGAGCGUUUCAUAAUGCACUAAAAAAGAUAAAACAGCAUAUUUCACAAGUCAGGAAGAUUAAUUUACAGUUGUAUGCACAAACAGCAAUACAAAUGCAAAUGCUUACAUUUUUAAUUAAAGUCACCACCUCCGUGCUGCUGUGGAAGAAAACGAAUACAUAUUGAAAAACCCAGUAAAUACUUUUUUUUUUUUUUGUUUUUUUUUUUUUUUUUAACCAAAAAUAUUAUUGGGUUUCAUUUUUAUUCUAGGUGUAAAAUAAUAUAGAUGGCUGAACAAUAACACUGUGAAACUGUAAUGUAUUAUUAACAUUGCAACGGUGCAUGUGUACAAAUAAACCUAUGUCCACAUGAAGCA
RNAcentral lists this long non-coding RNA (1237 nucleotides) under Scleropages formosus (Asian bonytongue). RNAcentral's name for it is "lncRNA (ENSSFOG00015029752.1)". Lineage: Eukaryota; Metazoa; Chordata; Actinopteri; Osteoglossiformes; Osteoglossidae. The record is from RNAcentral.